CAUGACGUGAGGAGUGCUUUACGCCUCUUUCAGGGUCGAAACAAGGAAAGACUCCUGAAUGAGUUCUUCU
RNAcentral lists this non-coding RNA (70 nucleotides) under Synechococcus sp. CC9311. RNAcentral describes it as "Cyano-1 RNA". It matches the Rfam family "Cyano-1 RNA". Lineage: Bacteria; Bacillati; Cyanobacteriota; Cyanophyceae; Synechococcales; Synechococcaceae. The record is from Rfam by way of RNAcentral.